AAACUAACAAGGAUUCCCCUAGUAACUGCGAGUGAAGCGGGAAAAGCUCAAAUUUAAAAUCUGGCGGUCUUCGGCCGUCCGAGUUGUAAUCUGGAGAAGCGUUUUCCGCGCUGGACCGUGUACAAGUCUCUUGGAACAGAGCGUCAUAGAGGGUGAGAAUCCCGUCUUUGACACGGACUACCAGUGCUAUGUGAUGCGCUCUCGAUGAGUCGAGUUGUUUGGGAAUGCAGCUCAAAAUGGGUGGUAAAUUCCAUCUAAAGCUAAAUAUUGGCGAGAGACCGAUAGCGAACAAGUACCGUGAGGGAAAGAUGAAAAGCACUUUGGAAAGAGAGUUAAACAGUACGUGAAAUUGCUGAAAGGGAAACGAUUGAAGUCAGUCGCGUGUGCUAGAACUCAGCCUUGCUUUUGCUUGGUGCAUUUUCUAGUGUACGGGCCAGCAUCAGUUUUGGCCGCCGGAAAAAGGCCUUGGGAAUGUGGCACCUUCGGGUGUGUUAUAGCCCUUGGUUGUAUACGGUGGCUGGGACUGAGGAACAUAGCAUGCCUUUACGGCGGGGCUUCGGCCACCUUCAUGCUUUGGAUGCUGGCGUAAUGGCUUUAAACGACC
RNAcentral lists this ribosomal RNA (604 nucleotides) under Bjerkandera adusta. RNAcentral describes it as "LSU rRNA". It matches the Rfam family "Eukaryotic large subunit ribosomal RNA", at positions 62 to 649 of the family's 3401-position model. The record is from RNAcentral. Lineage: Eukaryota; Fungi; Basidiomycota; Agaricomycetes; Polyporales; Phanerochaetaceae.